AAUGAAGUGCCUGACAAAAGGAUUACUUUGAUAGGGUAAAUCAUGUAAUUUAUUACCUUCAUUU
RNAcentral lists this transfer RNA (64 nucleotides) under Conanalus pieli. Its description in RNAcentral is "tRNA-Ile". The record is from RNAcentral. Lineage: Eukaryota; Metazoa; Arthropoda; Insecta; Orthoptera; Tettigoniidae.